AUCUUUUAAAUCUCAACAAAGGACAUGGCCAUAAUUAGGCAUUCUUGGCCAUAAUCGUGGGAUCAAAAAUCACACAGAGUCAUAAUAACUGGAACACAAGGCAACUUGGCUUGCUCAGAUUUCUCCAUAGUGGGGUAUUUGCUAAACCAAGAAGAUGUGAUGAUAAAUGAUACCGAAUCAGAGAAAUUGUUUUUCACAGCAUAAAUUUGUAUACAGCAAAUAGAAUCUCCAAUACAAAAUCUCAAGUAAAGCACACCUAAGACAGAUGAUGCC
Molecule: long non-coding RNA, 273 nt
Organism: Ochotona princeps (American pika)
Lineage: Eukaryota; Metazoa; Chordata; Mammalia; Lagomorpha; Ochotonidae
Exons: 3
Source: RefSeq, a predicted model, not a curated record